ACCCCAGACUCCUACGGGAGGCAGCAGUGGGGAAUAUUGCACAAUGGGGGAAACCCUGAUGCAGCGACGCCGCGUGAGCGAUGAAGUCUUUCGGUAUGUAAAGCUCUAUCAGCAGGGAAGAAAAUGACGGUACCUGACUAAGAAGCCCCGGCUAACUACGUGCCAGCAGCCGCGGUAAUACGUAGGGGGCAAGCGUUAUCCGGAUUUACUGGGUGUAAAGGGAGCGUAGACGGUUAUGUAAGUCUGGAGUGAAAGCCCGGGGCCCAACCCCGGGACUGCUUUGGAAACUGUGUAACUAGAGUACAGGAGGGGCAGGCGGAAUUCCUGGUGUAGCGGUGAAAUGCGUAGAUAUCAGGAGGAACACCGGCGGCGAAGGCGGCCUGCUGGACUGAAACUGACGUUGAGGCUCGAAAGCGUGGGGAGCAAGCAGGAUUAGAUACCCUAGUA
RNAcentral lists this ribosomal RNA (447 nucleotides) under uncultured bacterium. RNAcentral describes it as "bacterial SSU rRNA". It matches the Rfam family "Bacterial small subunit ribosomal RNA", at positions 328 to 792 of the family's 1533-position model. The record is from RNAcentral.